Molecule: ribosomal RNA, 424 nt
Filed under: Verrucomicrobiota bacterium
Lineage: Bacteria; Pseudomonadati; Verrucomicrobiota
Description: Verrucomicrobia bacterium partial 16S ribosomal RNA
Rfam family: Bacterial small subunit ribosomal RNA
Source: RNAcentral
UGAGGAAUAUUGGUCAAUGGACGCAAGUCUGAACCAGCCAAGUAGCGUGCAGGAUGACGGCCCUAUGGGUUGUAAACUGCUUUUAUAUGGGGAUAAAGUGGGGAACGUGUUCCCUUUUGCAGGUACCAUAUGAAUAAGGACCGGCUACUUCCGUGCCAGCAGCCGCGGUAAUACGGAAGGUUCGGGCGUUAUCCGGAUUUAUUGGGUUUAAAGGGAGCGUAGGCCGUUUGGUAAGCGUGUUGUGAAAUGUAGGAGCUCAACUUCUAGAUUGCAGCGCGAACUGUCAGACGUGAGUGCGCACAACGUAGGCGGAAUUCAUGGUGUAGCGGUGAAAUGCUUAGAUAUCAUGAAGAACUCCGAUUGCGAAGGCAGCUUACGGGAGCGCAACUGACGCUGAAGCUCGAAGGUGCGGGUAUCGAACAGG